ACCUGAGCCAAAAUCAGGAGUUGGAUGCUCAACUGACUGAACCACCCAGGCACCCUCUUUAUUUGUUUCGUAAUUUCUCUUUCUAUAUUUUAUGUGUCAUUGAUACGUGUUUGGAGCAGAGGAUGUCUUCAAUGCAAGAAAUUACAGGUAUCUUAGCUGGAAGUAUAGAUACGUUGGAUUAUAUUGCAUUAUAUAUUGCCUUAUUGUCCAGAAACAAUUUAUUUAUUUAUUUGUAAGUGCAAAGUCUGUGCUUCAAGAAUUAUGAGGACGUUGAGAUUCAAUGUAACAUAGGAAAUGGGAAGACUCUCAGGUGUCAGAUAGACCUGGGUUUUAACACAGACCUGACACUUCCCUGUGGAAGUAGCAAAUAUAUCAUCUCCUUGAUAACAGUUACUUCAUCUCUAAAAGGGGGAUAAUAAUACCUGUAAAAUAUUGUGAAGCUUGAAUAAAUGAUAGCUGUGAAGUAUCUGUUAUAAGACACAGAGAGACAUGUUUUGUUUUAUUUUACAUCCGCUUUGUAGGCAAAAUAACAUUGAAAACAUACACUUUGUUAAGUAAACUAGCAUAUACCAGGUAGAUAAUACACAUAUAGCAGAACCAUAUACAGACUCUUUGGGAAAUGGUACAAAGGAAAUUAAAAAUAGAAGAUAAAAAUGUUAUGAAGUCAAAUGAGAAGUAAUAUAGUAUGGAUACAAUACAUGACAGAAAUAUCUAUCUGAUACUUUCAUAUUUUUAAGCCAAGGAUGGGUAUGCAAAUAUAUAAACUAUUUUGAGCCAUUAAUUGUUACAAAUUUCCCCUGCUUGUCAAGAAACUUUGUAUUUGUUAAUGAGUGAAGUUACAUAAAUACACACAUGUACCUAAUGCUUAUAUACGAACAUGGGAUAUAAAAAUUACUUUUAUCCCUUUGCCCUUAAAAAACAAGAUUUGGCAACAUGUAGAUUGCAAGGAAAAGCUGAAAAAAAAGAUGAAAAUCCAAAUUUGAAAUGUCUCUCAACUCCCACACAUGUUCUUAUAUAUUACUUUCAGCCUCCAAAUUAUGAAAAAUGUUUCUGUAGAACCUAUCAACUCUCUCAAUAAAAAUAUCCCAGGUUGUCAUGGUGACAUAGUUCUUUCCCCUGCAGAAUCCUGUAGUCUGGUACAGCGAUUUCCUAAUUCUUUAUGGUUGUGGAAUGUUUCCUUUCUUUUUUUUUUUUUUUCACAUGGUUUCUCAUUUUUCCAAUCUAAGAUUACAUCUUAGCCUGCUACGAUGGUGGCAAACUAAAGAUUUAAUUUGAAACAAGGAAGAUUUAAAUAGUGGUCUUAUAAUAGUAAAUUAAUCUGGAAAGCUGAUGGAAUGUAUGUAUGAGUGUAUGUUCUGCAGUCGUCUUUGAUGAAAACAUUACAGCACUCACCCCUUGCUAGAAUCUAUUUCUUUCCUAACCUGUGUGGGCUGAUUAAAUUAAGAACUCUCAAUGUCCAGGCUUUUAAACCAGAGGUACAAUUCUAGGAGUUUGGUAGUCAGAAUAUGAAAUUUAGAUUAGCCUUUUUCUCCUCUCUAUCCCAAAUGCUUUGUUCUUCCCAUCUCUCAAUCCUGAAUGGGGCUUUGCAGAUUUGUGAGUCCCUAUAGUGCAGAGACUUGUGGAUGUUAUGGAAUAGAGCUCACCUCUGACAAAUUAUCUUGCUGCCUGGUUUGGUCUGUUUUAGGGCUCCUAGGGUUAUCUUUCUGGGAAGAUAUUAAGGAGUAAGAGCAGCCCUCAGCAGGGGUUCCUUGGACACCGGGGAGAACGAAGAGACUGAGCAAUGGAGCGUCAGAGGAGAGCAUGAGAAAGCUGCACGCAAGAAAGAGCAAAAACACUCUGUGGUUGUUUAAUAUCUCCUUGAAGAGAGGGACUUUGUCUUUUGUUUGUCUAAAUAAUGAGUAAGUCAGUGGCUGUUUGGUGGUGACUUUACCAAGUAUUUUGACUCUGCCUGUGCCACUGGACAUUUAGCUGGAAGGAUCCUUUGGUGAAGGCUAACAUCAAAGUGUAAGUGUCCCAGACGUCUCUCAGGUGCUUCUCAGGUGAUGCCCAUUGUACCUUUCACCGCCUGCCCCCUCUCCAUCCUCUGUGGAUAACCACUAUUCUGACUUCUAUCGCCAUAAAAUUGUUUUAGUUUCUUGAAUUUUCUGUGAAUGGGAUCAUAGAGUAUAUACUCUUAGGUCUGGCUUCUUUUGCUCAACAUUAUGUGUGUACAUUCUUCCUUGUUGAUACAUGUACCAGUAGUUCUUCCUUCUUAAUUGUUGUGUAAAUGCCAUUGUGUGAUUUAUACCACAUUUAACUUAUCCGUUUUACUGAUAAUUGACACUUGGGUUGUGGCAAAUUUUCAGACCUUCUGAAUAAUAAACUUUCCUGUGUGUGUCUUUUUAAAUGGA
Felis catus (domestic cat) is the source of this 2390-nucleotide long non-coding RNA. RefSeq lists it as uncharacterized. The transcript is spliced from 2 exons. NCBI's taxonomy places the organism in Eukaryota, Metazoa, Chordata, Mammalia, Carnivora, Felidae. The record is from RefSeq and is a predicted model, not a curated record.